GAGGGUAUAGCUCAAGUGGUAGAGUACAUGCCUAGCAUGCACAAAGUCCUGGAUUCAAUCUCCAGUACCGCCU
RNAcentral lists this transfer RNA (73 nucleotides) under Camelus bactrianus (Bactrian camel). It matches the Rfam family "tRNA". From Rfam's summary of the family: Transfer RNA (tRNA) molecules are approximately 80 nucleotides in length. Their secondary structure includes four short double-helical elements and three loops (D, anti-codon, and T loops). Lineage: Eukaryota; Metazoa; Chordata; Mammalia; Artiodactyla; Camelidae. RNAcentral also lists the same sequence under 2 other names. The record is from Rfam by way of RNAcentral.